GCUCAGGAUGAACGCUAGCUACAGGCUUAACACAUGCAAGUCGAGGGGUAGCAGGGUAGCAAUACCGCUGACGACCGGCGCACGGGUGAGUAACACGUAUCCAACCUUCCCAUAACUUGGGGAUAGCCUUUCGAAAGAAAGAUUAAUACCCGAUAGUACUUUUUUAGGGCAUCUUGAGAAAGUUAAAGAUUUAUUGGUGAUGGAUGGGGAUGCGUUCCAUUAGAUUGUUGGUGAGGUAACGGCUCACCAAGUCUUCGAUGGAUAGGGGUUCUGAGAGGAAGGUCCCCCACAUUGGUACUGAGACACGGACCAAACUCCUACGGGAGGCAGCAGUGAGGAAUAUUGGCCAAUGGGCGAGAGCCUGAACCA
This 369-nucleotide ribosomal RNA is filed under the name uncultured Bacteroidales bacterium. Its description in RNAcentral is "bacterial SSU rRNA". It matches the Rfam family "Bacterial small subunit ribosomal RNA", at positions 22 to 390 of the family's 1533-position model. The record is from RNAcentral. Lineage: Bacteria; Pseudomonadati; Bacteroidota; Bacteroidia; Bacteroidales.